CCUUGUGAAUGUCGCCAAGGAAACAAAAACCUAGGAAGAAAAAACAGAAUAGAUGGAUGGCUUCCAUUCUUGCACUUGCACUAGAGUCAAUAAUAAAAUAGACGGAUGGCUUCCAUUCUUGCACUUCACUAGAGUCAACAGUCUCCCACUUGCACUAGAGUCAAUAAUCUAGUUACAUUGUGAUGAAUCAAACACCCAUAGAGUUCUGGUGUUGAUCAUGUUUUGCUCGUGGAAGAGGCUUGUGAUUGAAUUAGCCACCGCAAAUUUGUUAGGGAUUGUUGAUUUCGACCACGGGGUAGCCACAAAUAAAAUUAGAUACUACACCAAAUAUGUGUAUAAAUCAAUCAAAUAUUAUUAAACCCAAACAUUUAAGGAAAUAUAAAUAAUUGACAACAAUCAUUCUAUAGUCUGUACACAUAAAUACUUCAUCUAGUUUGAUCUCGGCACCAAAGGUUAAUAAUUUUCGCCGCAUAUGAUUUUCCGUAAUGAUAUUGCCUGGUUGCAACUCUUUGUUCCCCCUUAGUGCAGGUCUGCCAGCACUUCGGGUUUGGAAACUGUUUUGAAAACUUGUGUCACAUAUGGAAAAAGGGCUUAUAGAUGAAGUCACAUUAGUGGCGGGGACCAUUUAGCACCCGCCACUGUAAUAAAAAAAUAUAUCAGGGGCGGGUGCCAAAACACACCCGUCAUUUCUAUUGGUGUUGUCAUCCUAGACGGCAAUCACCUAUACGAUGUGUCAAAAUCUCGAGGAGUGGCGGCACCGAAGUCAGUCUCGCCACGGUGACAGGACGAGCAUCGCCUCGACUCAUCGGCCUCGAUCACUUGGGCGAUGGCCCAUAGACUAUUGCGUCAGCGUGGAGGUAGAUGAAGAAGAAUUAUUUGACAAGAAGGUGGUCCGAGAAGUCCAUCCCCAGCAACAAAAAAAUGAACCAAGAACGUUACAGCGUUAUGGCUUUAUGACAAUGCUUGUUAAAAUGCAUGUGCGGAUCGCGUAAUUUAAACGCUAAGACAUACACAAAGGUCUUCUCUGCCCUGUCACUGCCAGCCGUACACCAAAUUAAGCGUCUGUAGUCUUCUCGGUUAGGCCGAUUACGCUACUUGUUGAUGCAUUUACGACUUAUCUGGCUUGUGUCAUAGUCAGGUAGAGAUUUUUCCGGAGUAGAUAUGGAAUGUGUAGGAGUAAGGCUGGAAAAAGAGAUAGGUGCAAGUGAGGCGGUAGGCCUCUCCCUAGUGUGUAUGUGAUGCUUAAGCGCCCUACACGCGACCUAGGCGGCAAUACAGUUUUUACUAUCAUAGUAUGUUUGCGGUAUUAUAUGUAUCAAUUAUUCAGAGCAUAACAAUAACUAAAUUACCCGAUCCUACAAUUGCAUAUUGCCUAUUUGGCAUAUUAGUGAAAUAUGGCAUGAUUUCCCGCCCGGGUAGACAAUUUAUUGCUUGCCCCACCUAGUCUUACACAUAUGACCUAGGUUAGGCAUUUGGACAUCGUCUUGUGCCUAAGCAUGCCUAAACGCUUCCUAGGCACUGCCUUUUACAAUAGAGGCAGGGACCUUAUUGGAGGUUGGGCCACAGGUUGGAUAGCAACAUGGACGCUGAUUAGAGCAAACGAGGAGGAGAAGCUCUGUCUGCCAUCUCAGAGAUGACCACUCACUCUCGUUUCUUGUGACAAAGCACUACAGGCCCGUCGCGUCGAAGAANN
Molecule: long non-coding RNA, 1693 nt
Filed under: Hordeum vulgare
Lineage: Eukaryota; Viridiplantae; Streptophyta; Magnoliopsida; Poales; Poaceae
Description: long non-coding RNA (HVUL_LNC000137)
Source: RNAcentral